RNAcentral lists this long non-coding RNA (1466 nucleotides) under Mytilus galloprovincialis (Mediterranean mussel). Lineage: Eukaryota; Metazoa; Mollusca; Bivalvia; Mytilida; Mytilidae. The record is from RNAcentral.
UUUCAUUUUUGACAAAAACCAUCUGAAAAGUGACAUUUUUCAGCAUAUUUGGUAGAUUUUUCAUAUUUGAGCUUAAAUCAGAUCGUUUUUAAUGACUAAAUCAGUUAAAAUCUUUCACAUUAACUAAUUGAAUCAAAUGAAAUAGACACUUAAGUGUUUAAAAAGUGGUCAAAAUCUUUUGUCAGAUAAAACUGAAAUUUGAGACCAAAAUCGGUCCUUACAGGACCUACUCCUUUACCAGGUUCAGGGUUACAAAUGGGUUUUACAAAACAAGAGGUUCAAAAUUGCCAACAUUAGCUAAUUUCAGGGGAGAUUCUUUUCCAAACAAUUUUAUAAGCUUGACGAUGCUGAUGCUAUGUGUUCAUAGCCUGUUCUUCGUCCUCUUUAGAGAUUAGGAUUGCCAAUUUUACCAACAGUGGUAUUAAACACCAACAAUCAAUAAAUCAUACAGCAGUAAAACCUGGCUAAUAUAAUGUAACUCACAAGUGCCUAGUGAGAAUAAUGGUCAACUAAAUAUAUAAGGUGAGCUAAAAUAUAAAGAAUAUAGAAUAAUAGUGAGCCAAAAUAUAAAAAAGUGAAUAAUAGUGAGCAAAAAUAUAAAGAAUAUAGAAUAAUAGUGAGCUAAAAUAUAAAGAAUAUAGAAUAAUAGUGAGCCAAAAUAUGAAGAAGAGAAUAAUAGUGAGCCAAAAUAUAAAGAAGAGAAUAAUAGUGAGCCAAAAUUUAAAGAAGAGAAUAAUAGUGAGCUAAAAUAUAAAGAAUAUAAAAUAAUAGUGAGCCAAAAUAUGAAGAAGAGAAUAAUAGUGAGCAAAAAUUUAAAGAAGAGAAUAAUAGUGUGAGCAAAAAUAUAAAGAAGAGAAUAAUGGUGAGCCAAAAUAUAAAGAAGAGAAUAAUAGUGAGCACAAAUUUAAAGAAGAGAAUAAUAGUGAGCUAAAAUAUAAAGAAUAUAAAAUAAUAGAGAGCCAAAAUAUGAAGAAGAGAAUAAUAGUGAGCAAAAAUAUAAAGAAGAGAAUAAUAGUGAGCAAAAAUAUAAAGAAGAGAAUAAUGGUGAGCCAAAAUAUAAAGAAGAGAAUAAUAGUGAGCAAACAUUUAAAGAAGAUAAUAAUAUUGAGCUAAAAUAAAGAAUAUAGAAUAAUAGUGAGCUUAAAUAUAAAGUAUAUAGAAUAAUGGUGAGCUAAAUAUAAAGAAUAUAGAAUAAUGACAAAUGAAAAAAAAAACAACAGAGUAAAAUGAGGUAAAAAAAAUAAAAGGAUGAAGAAAUAAAUAACCCCUACCCCUCUCCCUUCAUCCAGCCUACAUUUAUUGACCAUCAUAUUCAUGAAUUAUAUUCAUACAUUAUAUCUUAUAUAAGGUUGAAAAUUGUAUUGAAAUUUCAUAUCCUGGAUACUUUUGAUUAAUGAAGUCAUUGUUGUGCUGUCUCAUAGAUUCAUCACAUCUCCUUAUAUUUAAAUUUAUUAUUUCAAACAAAC